This 93-nucleotide transfer RNA is filed under the name Caudoviricetes sp. Its description in RNAcentral is "tRNA-OTHER". It matches the Rfam family "tRNA". Rfam says of the family: Transfer RNA (tRNA) molecules are approximately 80 nucleotides in length. Their secondary structure includes four short double-helical elements and three loops (D, anti-codon, and T loops). Lineage: Duplodnaviria; Heunggongvirae; Uroviricota; Caudoviricetes. The record is from RNAcentral.
GCAGGCGUAGCUCAGUCGGUAGAGCUUUAUCGCGCAAAUGGAUAUGCGAUUGAAUGCCAUUGGUCGCUGGUUCGAGUCCAGCCGUCUGCACCA